GAUCUUCAAGUCAUCAUAGUUCUCCCAAGUGGCAUCUUCUAUUGGUAGGUUUGCCCACUGUAUUAGCACUUCAUUAGUGGGUCGUCGUCGUCGAGUCACGAUCCGUCGAUCAAUAAUGGCACUUGGCUGGGUCUGGAGUUCUCUUUGGGUAGUCAUAUUUGGUGGGUGGCUUUGGGCUGUCUCCAAGCAUCUAUUUAAAACUUCC
This 205-nucleotide long non-coding RNA is filed under the name Musa acuminata (dwarf banana). RNAcentral describes it as "long non-coding RNA (MACU_LNC007094)". Lineage: Eukaryota; Viridiplantae; Streptophyta; Magnoliopsida; Zingiberales; Musaceae. The record is from RNAcentral.